RNAcentral lists this ribosomal RNA (373 nucleotides) under uncultured Alphaproteobacteria bacterium. RNAcentral describes it as "bacterial SSU rRNA". It matches the Rfam family "Bacterial small subunit ribosomal RNA", at positions 521 to 896 of the family's 1533-position model. Lineage: Bacteria; Pseudomonadati; Pseudomonadota; Alphaproteobacteria. The record is from RNAcentral.
UAAUACGAAGGGACCUAGCGUAGUUCGGAAUUACUGGGCUUAAAGAGUUCGUAGGUGGUUAAAAAAGUUGGUGGUGAAAUCCCAGAGCUUAACUCUGGAACUGCCAUCAAAACUUUUUAGCUAGAGUAUGAUAGAGGAAAGUAGAAUUUCUAGUGUAGAGGUGAAAUUCGUAGAUAUUAGAAAGAAUACCAAUUGCGAAGGCAGCUUUCAGGAUCAUUACUGACACUGAGGAACGAAAGCAUGGGUAGCGAAGAGGAUUAGAUACCCUCGUAGUCCAUGCCGUAAACGAUGUGUGCUAGACGUUGGAAAUUUAUUUUCAGUGUCGCAGCGAAAGCGUUAAGCACACCGCCUGGGGAGUACGACCGCAAGGUUA